Molecule: long non-coding RNA, 22002 nt
Filed under: Durio zibethinus
Lineage: Eukaryota; Viridiplantae; Streptophyta; Magnoliopsida; Malvales; Malvaceae
Description: long non-coding RNA (DZIB_LNC001553)
Source: RNAcentral
UCAAAUAUGGGCAAGGCAGAUGCAAUAACGGCAUUAAUUCAAGCAAUUUUUUAAAGAAAAAAAAUGAAAAAGAAGUACUAUUAUGAAAGGAUACUUACAGUAUCCUUAAUAUAGUAAUUUGGUGCAUUCGUAGAAUCAACAUCAUGUGGAGGAAUCCUAAGCAAAGGUACUAACGCACUAAGCGGUAUCUUAUCUUGUCCAACAGAUUCUCUUUAAAACAAAUACAACAAAUUUCAUUAUUAUUAUGAUGAUUAUGACCCCUUAAUUAAGCCAUAUGAUCAUGACUGAGACUGAGAUGAUGUAUCAUACAUACCCACUUAUUGCAUGAGUUUGCCAUUUGCUCAAAUGUUCUCUUUCUUUCUCCGUGAAAGGAAACCUCAAAUAUGCCUCAACAUCCUACAAAAGUCGAAACAAUUUUGAAAACCCCUAAAUAAUAAAUCAAUUCUGAAAAUACGAAAUUUUUUUAGGCAUAUAUAUGAGAUGUUAGAAAUAUAGUACUAGCCUAAGCUUUUAGGUUGAGUUUUCCUCAUAUAGCUUUACAAAAUGUGAAGGGAAUUAUUGAAUGUAACCUUUUCUGUCCAUAUUGUUGUACCCUUCUUGCAACUUUUCAUCACAAAAGUCUCUUUCUCCUCCAUCUUCCUUUUAGCCUAUCAAAUGAAAAUGUAUAAAAGAAACUCAAUUUUUCAGAAUUCAAGGCUAUAAUGUAGCAAAACACAUUCAAUUGAUCAAUUAUACCAUAUGCACAUACCCUGUUCUGCAUUGGUGCAAGAUUUACUCUGUCAUCUGAUGACAAUAAGUUAAAAAGAACGUCAUGUUGCAAUGAUGCAGAAUACAAGUUCAACAAGAUAGCACAACUAUAGCUGUUGAGUGAGUUAGAAGCUUCAUCUUGCCGAAUUUACUCACAGUUUUAAUACCUCUUUAAAAGUGUAUUGGUCUUCUAAGUUUCCUGUUUGCAUCAAUAUAUAGCUUGGUUCCAUGUUAACUAAAACUGCAGAGUUUUGACUCACAUCUAUAAAGGGGUUUUUCAAUAAUAGAACUUAUUUCCAUAUUACUUUACUUUAUUAUUUAUUUUCUAUAGGAGAUAAGAUGAUAAUAAGAACUUAAUUCAGUAGUACCUUCUUUAGGAGAUUCUAACCAAUCCCUGCCGCAUAUCAUCGCCUCUAUGAUCUGAGGAUCUAAUCCACUGAAUAUUGGAUUGUCCAUGAAAAUCUUUUCAUUGAAAGUGGAACUUGAUAUAAUAGAUGACACAGGUAUUGCUAAGAUAUCACGAACCAUCCUCGCAAGAAUAGGAAAGUGUGAAGCUUGUUCACACCACCAACCAAGUAUGUCAAAGUCUGGAUUGGAAGAAAUAAUUAUAGGUUGAGAAAGAUAAUUAUCAAGUUCUGACAUCGAUGAGGCUUCAGUAUUCCUUUUGGAAUUGCACCACCUAUGGAAAGAUUCCAUUGUAUUUUCUUCAGCAUUCAACAAUGUCGAUGAAUUAGUAUCAUCGAGGAAUAGUGUCCCACUAGAUAUAUUACUUGCAUAUUCAUAAAAAAUAUCAGUAAGAGUAUUACGAAUCAUUUUCAAAUGAAUUUUGGCUGCUUCAUCGCCAUAGAUUGCAUUGUAGGAGAACUCCACAAAAUUAAAUUUAAAUUGCGGGUCAAGAACAACUGCAAUUGCCAAAAUCAAGCUACAUGUCCAACACUUGUUGUCAAAUUUCACAUUCAUUAAUGGAUAUCCUCUUCCAUCCCGUUGACUCAAUUUCUUGUAGAUGCCAAAAAUGUCCCGCAAACAUGCAUUUGAAGUUCUAAUGCCACCAUCAAUAGAUUUUUCAACAUUCUUCUCACCUGAGUUAUCCUUACCAAGAAGACCAAAACUACAUUCAUCACUACUGAUGAAAAAUGAGCUUGAAGGAUAUGAAGCUACAAAACACUGCCAGCUCUUUCUUAUUUCUUCAGCUAUCUUGAAACAUGAAGAAGAAGUAUGUAUGGUUAAGGAACAAACUUUCUUGCCAAACUUCCAAUACUCAAAGAACUUUUUGAAAUUUUCAAUGAAAGUCCUUUGGUUAAAUUGAUUCCCUAAAUUUUCUAAAGCAAGAAUUUUCUUCUUUAAUUCCCAAUUGUCAUCAAUAAAUUGUACAGUAUAACAACAAUAAGCAGUCUUUUCAAGAUCAUGUACCCACAAACUAAUUGUCAAAUUAAAGCGACAUGAGAGCUUAUCAAAAUUUUGAACGAGCUUACGUUUUUCCUCUUGGUAGACAUGGAUUAUGUUAGAUGAUAGAGCUUCUUGUGAUUGAAGUUUGAACAUUGGUUGCAAAUUUUUCAAAAAAAUACUGAAAAAUUCAUACUCAACCAUAUUCAAUGGGCACUGAUGCUUAAUAAUCAUUCUUGCAACAUCCAUGCUACUCUUAUCUUGAUCAAAUGAAGAAUUACCUUCGCUAGCACUUUCAUUUUUUGAAUCACCUCUCCCAACUUUGGUUGCUCUUUCUUUACAUCUUUUCAAGUGAUUUCUUAGGUGGGUAGUUCCUUUCUUGCUUGAACCAUCAAACUUUCUAUCACAAUAUACACAUAUAGCAAGUUCUUUCCCAUCCCCAUCUUUCUUAUUGAUAAAUUCUUCCCAAACAUCAGAUGUCAACUUUUUUCGUUUGGCACUUGAGAUCAGUAAGUUAUUUACAUCUGCUUUUACCAUCUCAUUCUCAUUUUUUGCAAGUGGUUCAAAUGACGUUUGUUUUCCAUUUCCCUAACAUAAGCAAAAAUCCAUAGAAAAAAAUAAAUUAUUUACGGUCAGUCAUUUUUAAAUAGUUAGCUUUUCAUUUUUUAGAACAAAUAGAUUCAUUUGUAGUUAACAAAAUAUUUAUAAUUAGUACAACAUUUCUAUGGAAAAAUUAAGAAUAGUUAAUACAAUUGUAACCUUAAAUAAAGUGAUAAGGGAACAACAGAUUACCUGCUCAAGAGGCACUCCCCCUGUUCCAGCUGGCGAUGAAGCAUGCAUAGGUAGUGGUGGGUGCAAAUUUGGAAUCACUCCCAUCUAAAAGCAGAUGUUAUUAUCACACGUGAAUGCUAAUUUAUGAAUGACCUUAGAAUAAUAUAAGUAUCAGAUAUUGUAAAUACAAUUAAGAUUGAAUGUUACCGGCUCAUUAAACUCUUGUAUUUCCAUUACAUGAUCAUCCCUUGUGUUUGAGUCUAGCAAAUCAUAGGUAGAUGAAGCAGGUAGAGGUUUCUCAUAGGCACUGUCACCUGCGAAAAGUUUGAAAUAGCUUCUUCUGGAAACCCAACUUUAGUGUCCCGAACCGUUACUUGUACAAACCUUUUCUUCAUAUUUUUCAAGUCAUUGAAGAUACGAAGUGCCAAGGAUUUUACUUUUUCAGACUCUGUUUCAGAUGCAGGCCAAAAGAAUUCUACUACAUAAACAUCAUCAGUGGUAUAUCGGUUCUCUAGACAGAUUGCAACAACAGCUUGAUCGUUAAUACGAGACUCUCCAGAAUAUGGAAAGUCAGAUUUCUUAAAACAUGGUUCAAAAUGGAAGUGCUCACUUGAUUGAAGUGCUUUCCCAGCAAUAGCUUCCCCUUCUAUAAAUUGAAGUCUUUCACAAUGUCCAAUAACCGUUUCAGACCAGAAACAUUGCCCAUAACAACAAGUACUUUGGAUGAAUAAAGCACGUCUCUUGUAUAGAAUUUUAUUCACAUUAGUCCCACAAGCCCAUGUUAAUGCCAAUGAAAGCUUAUAUUCUAAACAUACCUCUUCUAACAUAUCAUAUAUCUCAGCCAAAGCAGCCAUUUGAUUUAAAUUGAUUCCCUGUGUUAAUAUAGAUAAUAAUGAAUUACAACAAAAAGAAAAAAUAAAAAAUAACACAUUUGAAAAGACAAACGCAAUACACCCUUAAAUUAACACUUUUUGUAAGGAUGACAAUGCAUAGGAUAUCCACUAAUUUUAAGAUACUCAUAUCCAAAUUCAAUUAUCAAAUAUAAUAUCCAUACUGAACCCAUUUGGUAAUACCCUAUUAAAAUCUGAUUCCAUUUAUUUAGUUAAAAAUAUAUCGGUAUCUAUUAAAGAACCUAACCCAUUCCAAAUUCAAUAAUAAAAUAAAAUAGAAUUAUUUUAUAUGUUUUGUUAAUAAAAUUAAAUUAAUAAAUUUAAAAAUGUAUUUUAUAAUUAGAUAAUUUAAAAAUUUUACUAAAUAAUUUGUAAAUAUUAAAAAAUUCAUGAUUUAUAAUUGAAUUCGAAUAACAGAUGCCCUAAACUUACCACAUGCAUCCUACUCAAAUCCUUUACAAAAUACUCUAAUAAUACUUAAUCAGAUCGAAUAGCAUUGGAUAUCCGCUUAUACCCUAUCCAUAGCCAUCUUUAACUUUUUGGCCAUUUUGUAUGCAACUUCUAAGAGUGACAAUAUAUAAUAGUGCAACUUCAAAUUGGAGCUUUUUGUUAAAGUCUUCCCUUUUUCAUUUUAAUACCAUGGUACUUAAUGUCUCUAACUACAAGGCUUGAAGUUUAAUAAUUUUACCUAAAUUUUCAGUCCCAACAACAUGUACUUUAAUAUUCAGGCGGCCCCUAUUAUGCUUUUGUAAAAUUCUAUGUUUGUUUUGGUACUUAAAAAACUAUUAUUCCAAAAAAAAAAACUAAAAUAAAACUUUUGGCAUGCUUUGAAGCAACCAAUAAAUAUAUAUUAUAAAUUUUGACAUCGUAAUUUUACUUUGAUUAAAAAAAUAAUCAAAAGUUAUUAGUAAAAAUUAUUAUUUUGAAGAUCAUUCUCUUAUUUUCUUACAAAAUAAUUUUUUCACCGUUAAAUUUUGAUAAUUUUUUUUAUCAAAUUAAAAGCAUAAUGUUAUAAUUGCACUAAUCCAAAGAUGAAUGAUAAAUUGAUUAUUUUAGUGAAGAUAAAACAGUAUAUAUUUAGACCUUAACUCAUUAAAAAAAUACAAACUAUUGAUAACUUUUUAAAGUUAAAACCAAAGUAAAAAUUAAAAAAGGCUAAUAUGCAAUUUAUACUCUUGAACUAUAUUACGUUUACAGCUUUAUAUUUAAAAAGAAAAAUCACAAUUUGAGAUCUUAAUUUUGUUUUUGUCAAACACUUUUUAAUAUUGACGAAUGGUAUUAAUUAAAAAGAUGAUGUGGCAAAUAUAAUUGCCACUGAAAAUGUGUUGUGUUAUGAUCUUAUUUGUUAUUUUAUUAAUAUAUUAGCAUAUUAUUAAUAGAGCUAGUAUUUAAGGGCAAAAAUGUAUGACGAUGAAAAUUGAGAUACUAAAUUGUAAAUUUUUAUAGGUACUAAAUCAUGAAAAAUAAUAUAAUUUAAGAAUCAAAUUGCAUAUUAGUCCAAGUAAAAAUUUUAGUUUUGUAUUGUUUAGGAGACUUGAAAAAGAUAACUAAAAGAAAGAAAAAUUAAUACCUCUAGAAAAGGUUGUAGAGGUUGUACUUUACUUUCCAUUAGAGGAGUUGGAUUGAAACCUAUAAGAAAAUUGAUAAAAAUAUCAUCAUUAAUGAAUAUAAUCAUAAAUCUAAAUAAUAAUAAAUUAAGAAAAUAAUUGAUGAUAUAUGUAGAUUCUUUAUCAUAAAAUUAAGGGUCAACGAUCCAUUUUAUCAUUUUUUUAGUUUAUUGAUCAAAUUUUAUCAAUCAAUCAUCUUUGAACUGAUUGAUAAAUUUUUAACACAACACUUUUUAUUUAACCCCAAAUUAGUCAAAAUAUAUACCAAUAAAAUAUUUCAUUGUCAUACUAGUGAAAGAAUGAAAUAUUUUUUAGUUUUUUAAAAAUUAAAAAACUGAAAAAUAAAAAAUAAACAAAACUAGAAAAAAAAAAAAAGAAAAGCAAAGGAGAGAAAGAAUAAAGAAAGUAUAGGAAUGGAAAGGGAAAUUGCUUAGUCUUGUCGUCAAGCGUUAAUCUAAAGCCAAUUGACCAAAUUUUGGAUGUAUGAAAAGGCAAUGAAGAAAGAAAAAAGCAAAUGGAUUGUAAAAGGAGAGAAAGUGGGAAAAGAGAGAACUUAUAGAUCUAGCUAGAUCUAGUGAUUUAAAAUACGAUACGAUAACAAGAUAUGAAUACGAUACAAAAAAAGAUGUGAGGUGACCUAAUUUAAAAUUUUAUCCAUAACUAUAUAUGAGUUUAACAAAAACAAAAAAAUGUAUUUUAUAUUUUUGUGUCGACACAAAUUAUGACACGUAAUUUUUAUGUAAAACAUAAUACAAAUACACGAAUUUCAAUAUUUUACACAACAAAAUAUAUGAAUUAUCAUAUCUAGAUCUAGUAUGGCGAGAUGGAAAUGAGAAGAGUAAAAUGGUUUGGUUAUCUACGCUAAUUUGCUUUGAUUAUGCUUAGAAAGUGAGGUAAAUAUUUUAAGCCUAAGGAGCAUUUAGUUCAAGGAUUUUUAGAUAUUGGAAGGUAAAUGAUUCUGCUGAAAAAUGAUAGUUAAAGGGAAUAGAUGAUUCAUGUAUUUUGUUGAUCUUAAGAAAUAUAAGAUUUUUAUAUAAUUUGCGAAAUCUAAGAUUACCUAAUGAAUUCUUUUACUAUAUUGUUUUUGAUGACACAUAUAUAACAUGUGACAUUUAUAUAAUCAUUUAUUUAAUAUUUUUAUAAUAUAUUUAUUUAACAUAUGAAUAACUUAUAGAAAUAAUAAUGAAAAAAAAAGCAUUAAUCUCAAACAUGGAUGUGACAUGAUUAAAGAAGCUAUAAUCAUCACAAUAUAUUUCUCAAGAUUAUUCAUGUAUCAUAAUGCAUGUAUUUCUCAAAAUUUAAUACCAAAUCAAAAUGCAUAAUUUUAAAACUUAGUCAUGCAGUAAAUCAUAGUUGCGAACUAUGAUCACAAAUAUGUUUAACAAUAUAAUUCAUUUUCUCCUUUCUAAUUCCAAGAUUUAUAAAACAUUAAACAUAUGCAUAAUUACACCAAGCAACUAUGAAAUAUUCUAAAAUAUUUUUUAGAACAUUUAUCUAUCAAAGUCAUAAUUAAUGACUAACAAGAGAAAACCACUUAUGAAUUCAUAUGCUAAAUUUACUUAACAAUUUAUCACCUGUUUUAUACUAUCAACUAUAAUUUUCAAAUUAAUGAACAUGUAUUAUGCUAAUCAUCAUAAAUAUGCAUAAACAAUUUAUUGAUCUUCAAACAAUGUCAUUUUACAAUUUAUCAAAUACUUUACACUAUCAAUUAUCAAUGAAUGCGUUAAUCAUAAACAAUGUCACAUAAUACUUUAAUGACAUCAUUGUUAAGUAUAUUUCAUCAAUAAAUUUCUAAUAUAAUUGUAUUCAAAUGAAGUGUAUAAUCAAUGUCAAUGUUUUUUGUGUUCAUUCUCACACCAAUUCAUCUAGUUGUGAUUUCUCACAUAAUUCUCGUUAGGUUGUUUUUCAACCUUUCCUUUGAUUUUACUUGUGCAUGAUCCUUUGAUCAAAUACCAAGUCACAAUAAAAUGAAAAAAAAAUCAAAUAAUAAGUCUUCAAAACAUAUCCAUCAUUGGAAUGAACUUCAAUCAAAUAUAUUUAAACACAAUCAUGCAAUCAAUCAAUCAUCUCAAUAUAAUCAUUAUGCUAAAGUCACAUAGCAAAUUUUCAUCAUAGUUAAAACAUUAUAAGAAUAUAUAAAAUGUCCAAAUAAAUUUCAAUACCUCUAAUUAUUAGCAAACAUAUUUAGAAGUUUUAUUCAAAGAAGAAUAAACAUCGUCAUUGACUUUGGUAUUUUUGAUCAAGAGAUAUAUCACUUUAGUAUUUCUGUCAACCAUUUUGUAUUGAGUUCAUAUUUUUGUUAAACUCAAUAGUUGUCACAACUCCUUAAAAAUGAAAGAAUACCUUUUGAUAACAUUUCAGCAUUGUACAAAUGUUCACACCAAAAAUUAAAAUGUUACUCUUAAGAUAAUAAAUUGCAAUGAUUAGGCAACUUGUUGCUUUUUUGUAUUUUAUUUCCAAAACUUAGUUUUCACAAUAAAUAUUCUAAGUAAUCAAUUUUCAUAGUUGAUUACUUCUUUUAAAAAUAUCUCAUGAGUAAUAUUUUGGUCAUGAAACUCUUUCUUUCACUUCCCUUGAUCAUAUACCAACAUAUAAACUAACACUCAAAUCAAUCAAUGACUACUAAAUAAAAAAAAAAAUCAAUCAAUAACAACCAACUAUAUUCUUUUUGACAACCUUUAGCCCAUGAUCUUAAACGAAAAUGUUUAAGCCAUUAAUCAUGCAAUUAAACAUAUCACCAUAUAAAUUAAUUGUAAUAAGUAAAUUACUAACCUUAAUGUACAGGAACAUUAAACUCUUUAGGACACUUACCAUUUGCUUUUUUAUUUUUUAACCAUACUUACUUUUGUUGAAUUCAAGAUUUGUUGAACAAAUUCGAAUAAAAUGAUUCUAUGUCAUAGUCAAAAUAAAACAUGGGGGAAAACCAAUUUUAAUCUUCCACAAUCAUUUCCACAAUAAGUUAGAGAGUUAUUGAAAAAAUAACUUUAUGAUUUUUGGUUCAACACCAAGAACAUUCUUAAUAGCCUUCCAUAAAAUAUUCUCCAUUUCAUGAUCAUGAACUUGAACAUAAUGUUGCCAUUGAAGGAGAUUUAUUAUCCUUAAAUUGUUGUAUAUUGGGUAUAGUUAUAGCAACAUAAUCAAUAAAGUAUGCAAAAAAUACAGAAUUAGAGAAGAAAAAAUUGAUAUUUGGGCAAGACAUUUCCAAGAAAUUUUCUUAAAGAUAAUAGUCUCCCUACUGCAAUGCAAAUGGAUUCUUGGAGACGUUAUACCCAAGAAAAAAUGCCUAAAGUUGAAGAAGAAAAUGAUUGCACUUCAUGUUUUUCUUGAACUCAUGUGAACCAUGAACCCAAAGAAAAAAAAAAGAGCAUAGGAAGAUAAAACUGUUUUGGAUCUUUAAGAAUGAAAAGAUGUAAGGUUGUUAAAAUUGUGUUUAGAGGAAUAUUUUUGACCUCAUAAGGUGUUUCAAACCACCUUCCUAAAAGCAUCAUUCAAAUGAAUUGAUGCAACUUUUGGAAUGAAAGAAUUCCAACAUGCUUAUAUUUAGUCUUAAAGUGUAGAUAUUCGAAUGCCAAACAUGGGAUAUUCGGAUGUUUGCUUUCCAAAAUGUGGGUAUUCAAAUACCCAACUAGGGUAUUCAAAUGCCUACUCUUUAACUUUCAAAUUGUCAUUUUAAAAUAUAGCAUUCAAUUUCCCUUUACUUAUUUCAUUCCAAACGUUAUUGUAUACUUUUAAAAUACAAUUUUAUCAACAAAUGCAUUCUACAUUAUUUAGAAACAAUCAUUUUACCUAAAAACAUUGUUCUUUGGUAAUAUAUAAAACAAAAAAAAGAAAAAAAAAGAAAAAAAAGUCAACUUCAUACCAACCAUAUUAGUGAUCUUUUUAUAUUUUUAAAAUAAAUAUUUCAUGAACUUUUUUUUUGUUAAUGUUUGAUUGAUAUAAAUUAUGUAAAUUACACUCGUUCAUAAAUUCAUGGUAAAUUUUGAUGACAGAUUAAAUAGUGAUAAAUUUGAUCUUUAAUCAUUAAUUUAAAUUUCAUUAUAUUGAAGCUUUGGGGGUUUUUAAGUAUAUAUUUUCUAGUUGAUUUAUUCAAGAAAAUUUCACUAAUCAAGGAAUAAUUUUAAUUAUGUUUUUUUCCUCUUAUUAUUUUUGCCCAUCUUUUCUUUUUUGUAAAUAUUUUAAAAAUUAUAUUGAAAAUGUUUUAACACUUAAUAGUCUUUUUAAAUAUUUUAAAUUUAUUUUUCAUGAAUUUUUAUCUUUUCACAUUAAAAACUUGGAACAGUUAUUUAUAAAGAAUAAAACUUUCAUAUAAAUAGCAUUAAAAUUAAAGUUUGGUUUUUUAAUUUAUUUUAAUCAAGGAGAUACCAUAUAAAUAGAGGGAGCAUUAUAUUAUCAUAUUAAUUAAAUUAAUGGAAUGGAAGAAAUCAAUAAAUGAAACUUCAUCAAUUGUUAUAACAUUGGAGAAAAAUUAAAGUUAUUAAAUUAAAAAAAAGGUAUGACGUGAAUUGUUUUUUCCCCAAAACAUUUCAUUGUUUUUAGUAAUUUAUAUGAUUAUUAUUAUUACGUAAAAAUAAUUAAAAACUAAUUCAUAAAUGUAUUUUAUAAAAAUAUUUAGAUUAAAUUCAUAUAUUGGCGGCAUUAUGUUUGGUUGUUAGAUUUUUGUGUUAGGUUAAUGAGCAUUAUAUUUUUUAUUAAAUUAUUUAAUCAAAUUAUUAUUUAUUUAAUUUAUUGAAUUAUAAUCUUUUUUAGUGAGAACGUCUAAAACAAAGAAAAAAAUAAUAAAAGUAUAACAAUUAUAAAUUUUAAUGAAAUGAUUUUGAUUUUGAUUUUUUUUUAAUUUUAAAUUUUCUAUUUUAUGUAGUUUUAUGUUUCUAUUGGGAAUUAUUGGUUUUUUAGAUUUUUAGUUUUAUUUUAUUACAAGUAAUGGGGAAUAACAAAUUAUGUUUUUUAAAUCUUUCUUUUGGCUUCCCUUUCUUUUCUGUUCUUUCUUUCAUUUCUCCUUUUUUUUCUCUUAUUCUCCUGCCCAAAGCAUAAAGAAUAUGAGAUAAUAAAUGGAUUCGCUUUAAAAAAAAUAGCAUAAACUACCGCAACUAAAAGUUUCUGUUAAAUUGUGUAUAUUUCAUCAUCUUUUAUACUCAUACCCUCUCAAAAUAAUUGUCCCUUAUUGACUUUUUUUUAUCAAACUAACUUAACUUUGACCUUCAUUUUUUUAAAGUAUUAUAUUAAAUUAAUAGUAUGUUUUGAAAUUUUUGAAAUUCAAAGUUUACAAAUCUUAUUUUUAAAAGCUUUUUGAUUUUAUAAUUUUAUUAAACAUAAUGAUCAAAUUUGAUUUAAUUUUAAAAAAAAAGUUAAUAAAGAAUAAUAAUUUCAAAACAAAGGGAAUAAUAAAUUUUAACAAUUCAUUAACAUAUAGAAAGCCCAACACAUUAUUGUACAAAACAUAUUCAUCUAUCAAACUCGAGCCCAUACAAAAUGCAACCCAAAUUUUUUCAACCCAAUUAAAGUCUACAAUUGCAUCAUACAAUAGUUACUCGCUAAAUGUCAAUAAAUAGAAGGUCAAUUGAAAGUGAAAAAUGUAAAUAAUGUAAGGGAUUAUUGAUAUUAACUAUAGACAAUUAGAGUUAUUAUUAUUUUUUGAACAGAUUUAGAGUCAUUAUUAUUGAUUAUUGAUAUGAACUAUAGAUAAUUAUAACUUAAAAAAGAAAAACAUAUAGACAAUUGGCUAGAGAGGAGUGUUAAUUUUACUAAUUUUAUUUUUUAAAACAUGUCGAGAAUAAUUUAAAAUAGAAAAAUACCUUGAACAAAACUAUUGCCGAUUGGAUUGAGUUUCCAUGCCGAUAUGAAAUACAUAGGGCGAUUCCCCUGGAUCCUAACCAAACAUCCAUUGUCCUCACGAUAGCCAGCACCAAGCCUCCUACUCUGGUCCAGCUUGAGUGGAAAUAGAAAAAGGCCAUUUGUUUCCAAGUGGGAUCGCCACUGAUCCAAAGUAUGGUGUCGCACAAUUCUAUCCCUACCUUCGCAUCCCACUAUAUUAUGUAUAUGUCGCCUUAAACAAUUUUCUUCUUUAUAGUCUAGAAAUGGACGAAAAACAUGAGAGUAAUGUUGAAAAGAGUCCUCAAAGCGUCUAAUGAAAUCGGAGUGAUUAUGAUUAGCAGCAUACUCUUUUAUUAUCACAAGGUCCGGGUUUAUAUUCCUCAACUUUAACAACUCUCUCUCCAAUAUUCCAGCCUCUCUCAGCAACAUAGAGAGUUUAAAGAAAUAGAAGACGACCACAGCCUCAUCCUCUGUUCUUCUGAAAUCCAACAUAGACUCACCCACUUCUUCCAAACUAUUAGCGUAAACAACUUCAAACUUCUCCAACUUAAAUUUAUAUUGCGCGACCGCCUCAGUGAUAUAAUCCUUUUCUUCUUGGACAUUUACAAAUUUUUUCAGAGACGGUGGUAAUAUGACACUUACACGGACUGAUAUGAGAUCGUCAAAAGCAUCGGUUAGUAAAUCAAACAAGCCUUUAGUGUAAUUGAGAUGUGGUAUGCGGAAAUCAAUGAGGUGCACUCGCUUCUUUCCCAUCACGGUGUUGUUUAUGGCAUCUCCAAUAUACUCAUUAGCAAUACCAUCCCAAUACUGUAAAUACAAUGGAGGAGUCAUCUGCAAUUUGAAAUAGGCAAAGUCAGGAUGGAGUCCGUACGCUCGGCGAACUAGAGCUUCUGCAAAGUAUUUCACAACCGUGCUUUGUUGUUCGUCGGGUUCGUCGGGUUCAAGAGUCCAGAUCUGCUUAAGCAGUGAAUCGACAAGUUUCAGAUCCCCAUCUUCAACAGCUCGAGCGCAGUCUAGUAAGACCGGAAAAGCAGAAGAGGCCAUCACUGUAGGCAAAUACUAGUAGAAAUUUGGGGUUGAAGGAUGUAGUUACCGAUGAACUUGAGAAUACAAGUAGGUGACGAAAUUAUUCCAGCGAAAGCAAUAGCGCGUGAUUCAUUGUUUGUGGUGGUCCCCAGUCCGCACACCGCACGCGGUGUUGACUGACCAAUAAUUAAAGCCAAAGCAUCCCAUUCCCACCCACUGUCUGAACAUCGAAUCUUUUUUUUUAUUUUGCCUUUUUGGUUCAUCUAAGUAACCUACCCUUCCUAGAAAUUGCUACAAGGAUUACCGCUACCAUCAUUUUUUCAUUGACCAUAUUUUUUCUAAUCAAAAUAUGAGUCAUAUUUUGUUUUGUUUCUGUACAAAAUUUUCAAUAUAACCGUUUACAGUCAGUGGAAAUUUGAAUUUUAUAUUUCUACUUUCUAAAUUCCACCGGUUUUCGUUAUUUGAUUCUAGUUUUAAUGAAUUUUUUUUUUGCAUUUUUAUUAAAAAAAUGAAAUUAUUUAAAAAUAAUUGAUAAAGAUUUCGAUCUUCAAUUUGAACAAUGUGAUAUUUUAAUAAUGAUAGAACAAGUUAAGGCGGGAUAACUUUGUGUUUGCAUCAAAUAUAUUAAUCUAACAAAUUUAUAUUUUUAAUUAAAUAAUAGUAAAAUUAUUUGUUAGUAUUUUUUUAUUAAAAUAUAAUUGUAGUUGUAGAUGUCUCUAUUUUUUUAAUAAAAUAUGUGAAUUUUCAUAACUAUGAUUCAUGAAUGAUCGAAGAAAAAUUUAAGACUCGUCUGAAGAUGUUUUUAUUUUUAUUUUUUAUGUUUUUAAUUUUACAUUUUUAAAAAUUAAAAAUAAAAUUAUGUUUGAUAGGUUUUUUGAAAUAAAAAUUAAAAAUAAAAUUUUAAAAAUUGUUGAAAGUGAAAAAAACAUGUUUUCAAUAUAUUGAAAAUAUUUUCAUCACAUUUACUAUGCGCGUGAACAAUAAUUGCGCAUGAACAAUAUCAAUUUUAAUGCAAAAAAAUUUAAAAAAAAAUCAUCAAAACUGCCAUUUCUUAGAGCCAAACCACUACCACUUUCACAGCCCAUGCCCAUAAUUACUUCUUUACGUGGUCCCUUGCUUUUUAGUAUUUAUAACAAAAUGCUAAUUCUUUUAUGUGUUUUCAACUUUAGUUAAAUAAAAAUAAAAUAAAAUAUUUAAAAAUAUAUAACAUAAAACAUAAAAUUGACAACAACUCCUUAAUUACUCCGAAUUUUGGUCCGACAGGCAAUCUAUCCUGUUUUUAAUGUGAAUUUGGAUUGGUCAACCAAAACAAAAGAAAAAAUUAUGCACAGUUCAUAAAGUGUUUUCUUGAGUUAAAUAUAAAAAAAUGAUUUUAAUAAAAAUUAAAUAAUUAUCUAAAUUCUUAAUAUUUUAUUACAUUCAACUAAAUUUUUAAAAUUUAUUUUCAUGUAAUUAAAUCAUUAAAUAUUUAUUUUCAUCUACUUAAAAUUUUAAAUAUUUAUUUUUAUCUAAUUAAAUGUUUUAUUGAAAAAAAAUUGACGAUUAAGUAAUUUUGCCUAAUAAAGACUUAAUUAAUUAAUUAUAAUAAAAUGAUAGCAACUUAAAAAUUAUUUAAUUUUAGUUAAAAUUUUUUGUAUAUUUACGUCUUUUUUUCCUUUCAAUAGUCAUAAGUCCCUAAAUGGCUGUCCUUUUCAAGUCAUUCCCACUUUAGUGUUGUAUGAAAAAUUAAAAACUAUAAAUUAAGUCCAUCGGAUCUUUGGAAAUCUUUACUAUAGCUUACAUUAAUUUUCAUUUUUUCAAACCAAUAAGAUAGUCUGUAAAGUUGUAAACUGAUUUCAUCCUAUGAUAGUAUAUUUUACUUGUUCCUAGUUCGGUUAUCUGAUAACAUUUAAUAAACUUUGUAUUUUAUUUUUUAUAAAAAAUUAUAAAUAUUAAAAUUUAAAUUUAAAUUCCUUACUAUAUACUAUCUUUUUAAAAUAAUUAUGUUAAUUAAUUAAAUUAAAAUUCAGAUUUUAUUUUUAGAUAAAUUUGAAAACCAACCUAAAAGUAUCCGACAUCCAACAUUAUUUUCUUAUUUUUUUUCUUUUUUUCUUGUUUCUUGUUCUAAUUUCUUUUUAAUUUUUAAUACACCUACUUAUAAAUAACCAAUCAAAAUUUCAAUUUUAGUCACGCCCUUCUCUUUUCCAUAUAGUAGUAUAUUUUGAUACACAACAAAUUAAAAUUAAUGGGCAUUCAUCCACAGAUUACAAAUAAUGCCCAAGAGCAACCUCCUCCGUCAUCAUCGCUGCCGCCACCACCUCCUCCCAUGGGCCCAAAGGCACAGAUAACCGUUGAAAUUGUUGCUCAACAGAAUUUGCAAUGUCAAAGUGUAAUCCUAACAUAUUGCUUUACAUCAUCCAUUUAAAGAGAUAGAAGACGACCACAGCCUCAUCCUCUGUUCUUCUGAAAUCCAACAUAGACGCAUCCACUUCUUCCAAAUUAUUAGCGUAAACCACUUCCAACUUCUCCAACUUUACACCAUGUUGCUUGGCCUGCUCAGUGACCUAUUGCUGUUCUUCUUGGACAUUUACAAAUUUUUUCAGGGACCGUUGUAAUAUGACACUUACACGGACUGAUACGAGAUUGGCUCGACACGGACUAAUAUGACAUCCAUACAGAUGUGGUAUGCGGAAAUCAAUGAGGUGCACUCGCUUCUUUCCCAUCACGGCUUUCUUACAGAAAAUCUAAUGGAUGACCCAUCUGCAAUUUGAAAUUGUCUGAGUCAAGAUGGAGCCCGUACGCUCGGCGAACUAGAGCUUCCGCAAAGUAUUUCACAACUUUGCUUUGUUGUUCGUUGGGUUUGUAAGCAGCAAGAGUCCAGAUCUGCUCAAGUAGUGAAUCGGCAAGUUUCAGAUCCCUAUCUUCAAUAGCUCGAGCGCAGUCUACAAGACUUCCAAGCAGAGAGACUCAUCACUGUAGGCAAAUACUGGUAGAAAUUUGGGGUUGAAAGAGGAUGUCGUACCGAUAAACUUGAGAUACAAAAGUCCAGCGAAAAGCAAGUAGCGGCGUGAUUUUGGUUUAUGGUGGUCCCAGUCCACACCGCCGGGGUUUUGACAGGACCAAUGAAUUAAAGCCAAACAUGAGCCCUCUUUCUCCACUUUGCUUUGUUUUUGGUUCAUCGAAAGUAAACCUCCCUUCGCUAGAAAUUGCCUACAACAACUACUACUUUCUUUUUUUCCUGACCAUAAAUUUUCAUCAAAAUAUGAAUCACAUUUUGUUUUUGUUUCUGCACAAAUUUUCAAAAAUAACGGUUUACUUCCACUGGAAAUGUUGAAUUUUAUGUUUCUUACUUUCCUCAAUUCCACCGAUUUUCGUUAUUGGAUUCUCAAUUUUAAUGAAAUUUUUUUCUUCGGCAUUGUUUAUUAAAAAACGACAUAAUUAUAAAAAUAAUUGAUAACAGAUUUUUAUCUUAAUUGAUGAUGUUGGUAUUUUAAUAAUGAUAGAAACUAUACAGGGUGCAUUAAUUUCUUGUUGCAUCAAAAUAUUAAUUUAACAAACUUAUUAUUUUAAUUAAAUAAUAAAAAUGUUUGUUUGUACUUUUUAAUUAAAAUAUAGUUAUAGAUGUCAAUUUUUUUAUAACAUUGUGAAAUUUUUUAACUCUGAUUCAUUAAGGACAAAAGAAAAGUUUUAAUUGCUCCAUUUUUGGUCCAACAGCAAUCCAUUCUGUUUUUAACAUGAAUUUGGAUUGGUGAACCAAAACAAAGAAAAAAUUAUGCAUUAUCCCAAAAGUUUUUCUUGGGUUAAAUACAAAAAAAAAAGUCUUUUAACAAAAUUAAAUAAUUAUUUAAGUUUUUAUUAUUUUAUACAUUUAAUUAAAUUAUUAAAUAUUUAUUUUAAUCUAAUUAAAAUUUCAAUUGAAAAGAAAAUGACGCUUAAGUAAUUUUGAAUAAUAAAAAUUCAAUUAAUAAAAAUAAAAUUUGAGAAUUUAAUUAAUUAUAAUAGUUUGAAAAGAUAAUUUAAUUUUAAUUACUAAAACUCGUUUUUUUUUUAUAUUUAUGGCUUUUCUUUCUUUCUAUAGCCAUAAGACCCCUAAAUUGUCGUGCUUUUCAAGUCAUGCUCACGUUUGUGUUGUAUGAAAAAUGAAAAAUUACUUUUUUUGGAAAAAUAAAUUUGGGUUAAGGGGGUUGUUUAGUCCUUAAGUCAAGAUAAAAUAUAUCGUAUUUUAACAGUUUAAAAUAUAAAAUUGUAAGUUAUACAUUCAAGAUGAUUUUAACAAAUGAUCAUUGAUAAAAUUCAAAUUCAAAAUUUUUUAUUACAAACCUUAACCAAUUAAGUUCAUUGGAUCUUUAAAUGAAAAACAUUUAAUAAGUUUUGUAUUUUUUAUAAAAACUUUAUAAUUUGAGAAUAAAAAAAUUAAAAAAAUUAAAAUUUAAACUCCUUACUUAAUAUUAUCUUUUUUAAAUAAUUAUAUUAACUAAUUAAAUUAAAAUACGGAUUUUAUUUUUAAAAAUCUUUGAAAAACUAAUUUAAAAGCAUUCGACAUCCAUAUUGUUUCUUUUCUUCUCUUUUUUUUUUUGUUUCUUAGUCUAAUUUUUUAAUUUUUAAUACAUCUACUUAUAAAUAGUCAACCAAAACUCCAAUUUUAGUCACGCUCUUCUCUGUUCCACAUAGUAGGAUACUUUGAUACACAACAAAUUAAAAUUAAUGGACAUUCAUCCACAGAUUAUAAAUGAUGCCCAAGAGUAACCUCCUCCAUCAUCACCGCCAUGGCCUCCACCUCCUUCCAUGGGCCUAGAGGCACAGAUAGCCGCCGCAAUUGUUGCUCAACAGAAUUUGCAAUACUAACAUUUUGCUUUACAUCAUCCAUUGAGAUAGUUUUCCAGUUUGCAAAAUCGCAAUCCAAACUCUCUCCAUCCCUCAAGUUAGUCCUUUUUCAAACUUAUUCACAUUUUGCUUUUUGUUGCAACAUUCAUCAAUCGGAGGUUUGGCAAGAUAUCCAAAUUGUUGGAGAAAGUAGCAAUCAUCCUUGCAGCAGUAACAUUCAUUUUCAGUACCAUUGCUGUCCCUCUCCAUUAAUCAAUUUAUUAUCUUUUGCGAUUCACAAGUAGUACCAUAUAGUAACAGCAUCAAGUUUAGUCUUAUUGCAACAUGCUUGCCAAUGCCAACCGCCAUAUGAUCUAACGAUUGGGUUUAAUCUACGACAGUUCAAGUAAAACAAAUAAAGUCUUAAUAACUUACUAUAAUGUAUAUUUUAUUUCACCAUUCAAAUGAACAGCAUGUUUGUUAUGUCUAAAGAUUGAUAUUCAAUUAAAAAAUAGGGAGAAUAUUGAUUGCAUAGAUCAAUAUAUAACAGGAAAGGAGCUUCUAUUUAAUACACUCUUAGUGAGAUUUUUUAAUUCUAAAAUUAAUAAACUAACAUAUAUCUUAUUUGUUAACAUAAGUUGGGAGGCAUAGAUAAAAAAAAACAAUAUAUAUAAUAAACUUUUAAAUUAUGUAACAAUUUAGUCUAGAUUUGUGUAGAAAAAAAUAUAUCAAAAAAUCGACAAAACAUAUUCAAAUUGCAUUGUUCGAUUCAUUAUUUUUGAAUCGAAAAGUAUUGACUUGAAUAGAUACUAAUUUAUGAUAAAUUUAUAAAUUAUAAGUUAUGAUAUUAUUGAUUAUUUAAACGAAGAGUAUUAAUUAAUAUAUUAAUCAAAGUUUAAAAUUGUUAAGAUUAAUUUCUUUUCUAUUAAAAUAUAAUUCCCGUCUCUUUCACUUAAUGGUUAACUUAGUAGGAUAUAAAAGUUUUGGUUUCUCUUCUUCUCUGUUUUCUCAAAUCUUUACAUUGAAUUUUAAAUUCCUUUGAUUAAUUCAACUAAACUUAAUCAAUUGAAAACUAUCAAACCCAAAAUUUAUAUAUGAUUUUGACGUGAAAUUAUUGUCUUUGUUUGGAAAUUAAUAAUAAAGAAAGAGGGGCUGAAUGGUGGUUGAAAAAAAGACAAGAAAAAUGAGGUUUUGUUUGGCUGUAAGAUUAUUCCCUUAUCAUUCUUUAUUUAAAUCUGAGUUAAAUGAGAAUCAAAUGAUUGGGCUUUCUGUUGAAUAGAAAUUUAAUUCCUUUGUAUUGUAUAGUUUUUUAUUGAAUGAAAACUUAAAUACAAUCACAAAAUUCAAAUAGAAAUUAAAUUAUUUAGUUAAAAUAUUUAAAAACAAAACUUAUGUAUUUAUUAUGAACUAGGCUUUUUGUGAUUAUGAUCAAGACACAACAAAAGAUUUUUUGAACCAAAUUGACUAAAGUAAAAUACAAUCUGAUUUUGGGAAGAAUCCAUUUCUGUGGCAUAUUGAUAAAGUACAUACAUAACAACUAUAUAUGCACUAGCUCUACUAGAAUCAUGGAUGAAUGUUUCCACACAAGAAUUUUCAAAUCACUAUAACAAACAAGGAAAGGAAACAUAGAGUCCAUGUAGCAAAUUUUAGGUUCAACGGAAAAGCAAAUGUAAUGGCAUGGCAAAAUGCAGCUGCGGCUAGGAGCAGAGCAACUUUUUCUAACAUUAUGGAAGUUCUGGCAUGUUUUUGGCAGAUAAAAAAUGCAACCAAGUGAAGGGCAAAUGUAAGCAAGACAGCAAAUGAAAGCAACGCAAAGGAAGAAGGGAACUCCUUUGGUUCGUCAGUUUGUGAACACUGGAGGGAGAUUCCAAGCGCAAAAGUAAAGCAAAAUGUCGAGUUUUGCCUGGCAUCCUUUCCAGAUUCCAAUCAAGAUGAAAAAUAAAAAUAAAUCAAGGGUAAGUACAAUCAUCCUUAUUGCCUUCCCACCUCCUUAUGCUUUUCUGGCCUGCUCAAAGAAAGAUGGAGAUUAGGCAGGGCUGGGAUUAGAAUUCUGAACACAAGCCUGCCCAUAACACGAUGAUAAAAUAUUUAUUUAAGUAAAAAAAUUAAGAUUUUGAGUAAAGGGUUGGGUCUAAUAUUUAGAUAAAUUAUUUAUUCGCCAUAGAAAAUUGUAGAAAAUAGAUAAGGGGAUCUAAUAAACAAAUUACAAUUGGACUUACUUCAUUUUGAUGUUUCCAACAUGUUCCGACUGCACACCGAAGCUUCCAUGCUCUCUGCUUCUUCACCAGCAGACUCAGAAGCGAAGCAUUGUAACUCCAACCAAUUGUCUAAAGAUGGAUCACCAUCUGGUAUUUCAACAGGUCAGUUUCAAGUUAGAUAAAUAAUAAUAACAAUAAUAAUAAGUAUCAUAAACUACCAUUUAUGUCGAAAUCUUUGGCAUUGUCUUCAGUACUCUUAGUUUGUGCAGAAUUCCAAUCUUUCGAAAUUUUAACCAAAGAAGAACUGUCUUUCUCGUCCAUCUUCCUUUUACUUUUAGCCUAUGAAAUUAAAAUGCAUAAAGGUAACUCAAGUCUUCCGAAAUUCCUGGCUAUAGUAUGGGUAAAACAUUUAAUCCAGAUCACCUUUUAUCAUAUGCGCUUACCUUAUUUUGCAGUGGUGCAUGAUUUGCUCUGUCAUCUGAGACAGCAAAUGAUCUCAGGUAAGUGAUAAAGAGUAUGUAACUCCAAACAAAUUAAAUCAUCUAGCUAAGGACAUUCAAAGCUUACUCUUUGAGCAAAGUAUCAUACAUCAAUCAACCAAAUGCGAUAAUAACAAAGUUAAGCCAUGUGGUUUAAAUGCAUCCUACUUACUCAAGGUUUAUUGUUAUUACUAUUAUUAUUAUUAUUAUUAUUAUUAUUAUUAUUAUUAUUUUGAUUAGGGAUGCCAAUAGAUAGAGUAUGAAAUAGUUAGGACAUUAUCAUCCCAUUCUCAUCUAUGAUUUUUUAUAUUAAUUCUAUCUUUGUAUCUGAAUCAAUAUUUCAAAUUUAUUACAUCACUAUUCUUGCGAGAAUUUAAUAAGUAUAAAUAAUCUUCAUAACUUAUUAAAAAAUAAAAAAUUAUUUUAAAUUUUUUAUCUUGCACAUUUAUUUUAAUUUUUUAUAAAUAAAAAUAUUUUAGAUCUAAUUAGUUUAAAAUAAAAAAAAUUUAUAAGAUUAAAUAAAAAAUCUAAUUUUUUGCUGCAAAAGAGUGGUCAAACCACUUAAAUUCUAGAGGUUCUAGAUCUUGCUACUCCUAGGAUAUCUUCCCCUUUAAGAGGGUUGGCCAAAACAUAAUGAGUACAAUCCUCACUAUAGCCCAGCUGGCCAUUUAAUCAACACAAAAAAUUCAUCUCUAAAGAGAUGAAUAAUCUUAAAAAAAAAAAAUCUAUCUAUUAUAUAUAUUUAUAUAAAUAUUUAGGAUACGAAUACAAGGUGAUUGCUAUAUUAUUCAUCCCUAUAUUCUAUAAAAAUUUUUAAACUAUACUCAUUUUUUUACUUAUCUCAAAAUUUAAUAUCUAUUCCUAUCUUUACAUGAUAAAAAAUCAGAUUUCGCAUAAGGUAUGAGUAAAAUUGAUAUCUUUAAGUUUGAUAAAUACUCUAAAGUGUUUCAAACAAGUAACAUUCAAAUCAAUGAGAUUUAUUAACUCACUUUGUAAAUUUUGUUGACAAUUAAAUUAAACUUUUUUUUUGGGAUUAAUCAAACUUAAUUUGUAUUUGUAAUGUUUUUACUACAUCGACAGGAUUAAAAGAUUAAGAUAUGUCUCAUUAAAUUGUAUUUUAAAAAAUUAACCAUCAAAUUAAACAUAUGUCCCAUUAAAGUGUCAAUCCUUAAGCAAGAGUUAAUAACCUUGGCUCCUUCCCAAACAUAUACUUCCACAGUAUAGAUCAAGAAACGUCCGAUGUCGGAAGUGAAGCGUGUCAUCUUGAGUGAAAGGAAAAUAAUUGCCAUGUGUGAGGCAAUCUGCGUAUUUCAUCACAAAUAGCGCACAAUCCACAGAGCUGCAUCGCCAAAGAAAAGAUUGAAAGUUUAUGUAAUUAACAAUUGAGUGAUGAAUCUUUAUAAACCAUAAAAUGAAAACCACAUGCUUCAUUUUCAUUAAUUCUCUCAAAUUAGGAGUGAAUACUUUCUUACUUCUUUUGCAAAGGAAUAUCUUUUGGGACAUCAAACGACCAAUCCUUAUGAUCAUGUCCCAAAGAUGGCAAUAAAAACUCUGAAAACCACCGCAAGAUUACUUUCUUCUCUGAAACAUUUGACAUUCGAGAAUGUUCGUCUGAAUCAAACCAUAGCAAUUUUUUAUCAUCAAUGUCAACAUAAAAAAGAAGCCAAUGUUCAUGUAAACAAAUUGGCAGAAACAACUGCAUUGACAGACAAAAAAAAUGUUACAAUUCUUCUUACUAGAAUAUGUUAUAAAAUCGUAUUAGAAAGUAGAACGACUAAUUAUCCCAUAGAAAAAAAAUUACCUUGCUCACGCCUUUAAAGUCCUUUUUUUUAAACCAACUUAAGACUUCAUCUUCAGUCCUUGAUCCCUUAAUCAAGUAAGUCUGAAUUCAUAAUUUAUAGUUGAAAAGUUAUUCUCAUGCCAACUAACGUGUAUAUAUAACUACUUAAUUAAGAUUUUGAAUAAAUUAAGGUACUCACAGCAAUACAAGAAUCGAAUGAAUAGUGCUUCAUGUACUUAUGUGGGAAUUUCUCAUAUCUUCUUUUAAGUAAAACGAAAAACUGAUUCACAACCUUCAAAUAUGGACAAGGCAGAUGCAAUAAAGGCAUUAAUUCAAGCAAUUUUUUUCUAAGAAAAAAAUGAAAAAUUAAGUAUUAUUUUGGAAGGAUACUUACGGUAUCUGCAAUAUAGUAAUUUUGUGCAUUCUCAUAAUCAACUUCAUGUGGAGUAAUCAUAAGCAAAGGUGCUAACGCACUAAGCGGUAUCUUAUCUUGUCCAACAGAUUCUCUUUAAAACAAAUACAACAAAU